RNAcentral lists this ribosomal RNA (468 nucleotides) under uncultured bacterium. RNAcentral's name for it is "partial 16S ribosomal RNA". It matches the Rfam family "Bacterial small subunit ribosomal RNA", at positions 28 to 507 of the family's 1533-position model. The record is from RNAcentral.
GACGAACGCUGGCGGCGUGCUUAACACAUGCAAGUCGAACGGAAAGGCCCUGCUUUUGUGGGGUGCUCGAGUGGCGAACGGGUGAGUAACACGUGAGUAACCUGCCCUUGACUUUGGGAUAACUUCAGGAAACUUGGGCUAAUACCGGAUAGUAGCUCCUGCUGCAUGGUGGGGUUUGGAAAGUUUCGGCGGUUGGGGAUGGACUCGCGGCUUAUCAGCUUGUUGGUGGGGUAGUGGCUUACCAAGGCUUUGACGGGUAGCCGGCCUGAGAGGGUGACCGGCCAAAUUGGGACUGAGAUAAGGCCCAGACUCCUAAGGGAGGCAGCAGGGGGGAAUAUUGCAAAAUGGGCGGAAGCCUGAUGCAGCAAAGCCGCGUGCGGGAUGACGGCCUUCGGGUUGUAAACCGCUUUCGCCUGUGACGAAGCGUGAGUGACGGUAAUGGGUAAAGAAGCACCGGCUAACUACGUG